AAGCCAAAGGAAAGUGGCAACAUGAGUACUUGGCGCAAGGGUGCGUAAUGUAUAGGUUAUCUGCCCUUUGGUCUGGGAUAACUCAUCGAAAGAUGAGAUAAAACCAGAUAAUGAGGAAACUCCAAAAGCAAUGCCAAAGGAUGAGCCUAUAUCCCAUCAGGUAGUUGGUAGGGUAAUGGCCUACCAAGCCGACGACGGGUAGCUGGUCUGAGAGGAUGAUCAGCCACACUGGAACUGAGACACGGUCCAGACAUCUACGGAUGGCAGCAGUGAGGAAUAUUGCUCAAUGGGUGAAAGCCUGAAGCAGCAACGCCGCGUGGGCGAUGAAGGUCUUCGGAUUGUAAAGCCCUUUUGUAGGGGACGAA
This 365-nucleotide ribosomal RNA is filed under the name uncultured bacterium. RNAcentral's name for it is "bacterial SSU rRNA". It matches the Rfam family "Bacterial small subunit ribosomal RNA", at positions 59 to 449 of the family's 1533-position model. The record is from RNAcentral.